GACGAGCGCUGGCGGCGUGCUUAACACAUGCAAGUCGAGCGGUAAGGCCUUUCGGGGUUGACGUGCGGCGAACGGGUGAGGAACACGUGGGUGAUCUGACCUGCACCUCGGGUUAAGGCUGGGAUAAGGGAUCUAAUACUGGUUACGACCUGCAACCGCAGGGGGGGGGGGGGGAAGGUUUAUCGGUGCAGGAUGGGCCCGCGGCCUAUCAGCUUGUUGGUGGGGUAAUGGCCUACCAAGGCGACGACGGGUAGCCGACCUGAGAGGGUGACCGGCCACACUGGGACUGAGACACGGCCCAGACUCCUACGGGAGGCAGCAGUGGGGAAUAUUGCACAAUGGGCGAAAGCCUGAUGCAGCGACGCCGCGUGCGGGAUGACGGCCUUCGGGUUGUAAACCGCUUUCGGCAGGGACGAAGCGCGAGUGACGGUACCUGCAGAAGAAGCACCGGCUAACUACGUG
RNAcentral lists this ribosomal RNA (462 nucleotides) under uncultured bacterium. Its description in RNAcentral is "partial 16S ribosomal RNA". It matches the Rfam family "Bacterial small subunit ribosomal RNA", at positions 28 to 507 of the family's 1533-position model. The record is from RNAcentral.